AGCGCAGACGGCGAAGCAAGUCUGAAGUGAAAUGCAUGGGCUCAACCCAUGAAUUGCUUUGGAAACUGUUUGGCUUGAGUGUCGGAGGGGUAAGCGGAAUUCCUAGUGUAGCGGUGAAAUGCGUAGAUAUUAGGAGGAACACCGGAGGCGAAGGCGGCCUACUGGACGACAACUGACGUUGAGGCUCGAAGGCGUGGGGAGCAAACA
RNAcentral lists this ribosomal RNA (207 nucleotides) under uncultured bacterium. RNAcentral describes it as "partial 16S ribosomal RNA". It matches the Rfam family "Bacterial small subunit ribosomal RNA", at positions 568 to 774 of the family's 1533-position model. The record is from RNAcentral.